AGUGAAUAGAUACCCUGGUAGUCCCGGCCCUAAACUGUGCGCAUUUGCUGUGAGCGGAAAUCGACCCCGCUCGUGGCGGAGCUAACGCGUUAAAUGCGCCGCCUGGGGAGUACGGCCGCAAGGUUAAAACUCAAAGAAAUUGACGGGGGCCUGCACAAGCGGUGGAGUAUGUGGCUUAAUUCGAUGCAACGCGAAGAACCUUACCUGGCCUUGACAUGUAGGUAGUAGGAGCCUGAAAGGGUAACGACUCCGCAAGGAGAGCCUGCACAGGUGCUGCAUGGCUGUCGUCAGCUCGUGUCGUGAGAUGUUGGGUUUAAGUCCCGCAACGAGCGCAACCCCUGUGUCCUGUUGCCACCGGAACGAGAGUUCCGAGCACUCUGGACAGACUGCCCCGUCCAAACGGGGAGGAAGGUGGGGAUGACGUCAAGUCAGUAUGGCCCUUACGGCCAGGGCUGCACACGUACUACAAUGCCCGGUACAAAGGGAAGCAAGGCGGCAACGCGGAGCAAAUCCCAAAAACCGGGGCCCAGUUCAGAUUGUCGGCU
RNAcentral lists this ribosomal RNA (545 nucleotides) under uncultured bacterium. RNAcentral describes it as "bacterial SSU rRNA". It matches the Rfam family "Bacterial small subunit ribosomal RNA", at positions 774 to 1306 of the family's 1533-position model. The record is from RNAcentral.